This 2255-nucleotide long non-coding RNA is filed under the name Capsicum annuum. RNAcentral's name for it is "long non-coding RNA (CANN_LNC016435)". The record is from RNAcentral. Lineage: Eukaryota; Viridiplantae; Streptophyta; Magnoliopsida; Solanales; Solanaceae.
UCCCCUUCACUCUCUCUCUCUUUAGACUGUUCCUUUGUGUUUGAGUUCUUGAUCAUGAGCAGCUAGCCACCCCUUUGCCGUCAACUCGUGAUGGCAAAGGGGUGGCACGCGCGUAGCCCAAGACUCACUAUUGUUGUCUGGAGGGAGCUGCUGGUGAUUUUGUCUACUUUUAUCUUUGUCCCAAGGUAAGGAAAUUGCCAUUUUAUUCAAUUUUAUGGUGAUUUUCUAGUUAUGAAUAGGGCAACUUGUAUCCUUUGGCAUUUUCACUUCCCUUUGAGUACUCUCUUAAUGAGCUCUUGGAAGUUUUUAACUAUAGUAAAACAAUAAUUCAAGUAGGAUUUGUGUAGUCCUAUUUGUACUUUGUUGAACAUGUUUGGUGUAUUAAUAAAUGUUGUGUAGUACUUUGGGAAGAACUAGUUGAACAUGUAUUACUAGUAUAUAUUUGGCCAGUACUGGCUAUAAUAAUUAAAGUAUUGUUUUCUGUUAAUGUUUGAAGAGUGUUUAUUAUACAUUGUUGUUGACUUCGUACAUCAUGUUUUUGCGUAUAGAUGUUGCAAUAUAAUAUAAUCAAUAAAUAUUGAAGAGGAUAUGAAAUUUUUUAUUUAUUUUUUUAAAAUGUUUGAUAACUUCAAUUGUUACUUUCAUGCCUCGACGUGAUUGGAAAUGUAUAAAUAUUUUCGUGUGUUUAACAAUGAGGUUUGUUAAGCCAUGUUGGUCACUAUCAUAAUUUGUAGUUUGAUACUUAAUUAAGCUAAUUGCACUUUAUGUUGCAAAAUACCUUGGGUAUAAUAACUUGAAUGGAAUUAUCCUCUUAUCUUGUGAUUACAAGUGUAGAUUGUUCAUUUGUGCCAUUUUCUGACUAAGAGAUGCUGGAUCUUACUUUUUCUUAAAUGUAAUAAUUAUUACGUUGAGCCUUGAAGAAUAGACAAUCACUUGUUAUUACGUUAAAAAUAAAAAAUAAAAAAAUUCAAGAUAAAAUGAAAUGAAUCAAAAUAUAAUUAAGUUUAUAGCGUAUUGUGCAAACACGAUUAGAAAGUGAUUUAACCUGCGUGAUUAGUGGUGAAAGAGGGAUAGGUCCCUAGAAGGAUUUUAGGGAAUAGAAAGGACAAGUGAAUUAUAGAGCUAAUUAAGAUAAGAGGAAAUUAGAGAUUUUGCCCAUUGAGAUUGAGCAUGACGAGCCACAACUGAUCCAAUAUUGAGAUAAAAAAGGAAAAACUUCCUUAGAUUACAACCCCUCACCCCACGCACCCCACCCCCACAAUAUAUAUACACACAUUUUUUGUUUGUGUCAAGACGAAUUUUACACACAUAAUUUAAGCACUCUUUUUCACAGAGUUUGAUAGUCAUAAUGUUAUCAUGAUGUGCUGAAAUAAUGGAGACACAAAAGGUAAUAACAAGUGCUACAUGUACUUAGACUUAGAUUAGCACUACUUAAUACAUACUCCUUGAAUACUAGUAUUCUCUUUGUUUCUAUUUACUUGUCACCCUUCUAAGUUGCACAUGUAGUUAAAAAAUUAUUCAAUAAAAUUAUUCUUAUUUAUUACUCAUCUUUAUUUAAUGCUUUUUUUUUUUUUUAUAAUAUACUAAUAUCUCUUCAUAUUUAUUACAAAGGAUAAAAGUAAAAAAAAAUCGAUUGUGUCUUGAGUUUAUGAAAUGACUAGUAUAAGGAACAUCUAUUUUUAGCAUGCACGACAACUAAUUAGGAAAGGUGAGAGUAUCAAUUUAUGUGACACCAUUUGACUUGACAUAAAAAUUAAGAAAGAAAUGAAAUAUCUUAAAAUUUAUGAUCUAAAACAAGUCUUAGACAUUUAAAUAACUAUAAAUCAUAUCAUUGAAGAUAAAAGAGGUAUUUUGAAAUUAAAUUCUUUUUAAUUACAGAAAGACGGCUCAGUUUCUUUUGAACGAACUGAAAAAAAAUGUAUUACAUAAAUUGAAAUAGAAAGUAUCAAAUUACCAAUAGUAUAAUUCAUAACCACCUAUGUAACUAUAGUCACCUAGUUAAAUGUUAAUAAGUUGUCAUCGAGUGAUAGGGGCGCAAAGGGAUCAAAAAAGAAAGCCACUUCAUCGGAAAAGUAUAUUGAAUAAAUAAAAUUAUUUUUUUAUAUAUAUAAUGAUGUUGAAUCUUCUUAUUUUGUUAUAUAUGUUUACUUCUUAAUAUUUAACAUCCCAUUAAUGAACAUAUUGUAUCCAAUUUUUUAAAGGCAGAGGCGUAAAACAAGACAUUUUAUCUGAUAUGAGGCGAAGCGUAAGUCUCG